Molecule: ribosomal RNA, 442 nt
Filed under: uncultured bacterium
Lineage: Bacteria
Description: partial 16S ribosomal RNA
Rfam family: Bacterial small subunit ribosomal RNA
Source: RNAcentral
CCUACGGGAGGCAGCAGUGGGGAAUAUUGGGCAAUGGGCGCAAGCCUGACCCAGCAACGCCGCGUGAAGGAAGAAGGCUUUCGGGUUGUAAACUUCUUUUCUGAGGGACGAAGAAAGUGACGGUACCCCAGGAAUAAGCCACGGCUAACUACGUACCAGCAGCCGCGUUAAUACGUAGGUGGAAAGCGUUAUCCGGAUUUAUUGGGUGUAAAGGCCGUGUAGGCGGGAAAGAAAGUUAGAUGUGAAGACUCAGUGCUCAACCCUGAGCCUGCAUUUGAAACUGUUUUUCUUGAGUGCUGGAGAGGCAAUCGGAAUGCCGGGUGUAGCGGUGAAAUGCGUAGAUAUACGGAGGAACACCAGUGGCGAAGGCGGAUUGCUGGACAGUAACGGACGCUGAGGCGCGAAAGCGUGGGGAGAAAACAGGAUUAGAUACCCUGUAGUC